This 401-nucleotide RNase P RNA is filed under the name Dyadobacter luticola. RNAcentral describes it as "RNase P RNA component class A". It matches the Rfam family "Bacterial RNase P class A". From Rfam's summary of the family: Ribonuclease P (RNase P) is a ubiquitous endoribonuclease, found in archaea, bacteria and eukarya as well as chloroplasts and mitochondria. Its best characterised activity is the generation of mature 5'-ends of tRNAs by cleaving the 5'-leader elements of precursor-tRNAs. Lineage: Bacteria; Pseudomonadati; Bacteroidota; Cytophagia; Cytophagales; Spirosomataceae. The record is from RNAcentral.
GGAUUAAGCUGUCCUACCGCCGCGGUUUUACCGGGGAGGAAAGUCCGGGCAGCACAGAGUACCGUACUUCCUAACGGGAAGGCAAUAAAUUGGUGACGAUUUGUUGACAGCCAGUGCCACAGAAAUGAUACCGCCUUGGCAUGUUUUUUAUAUACCAAGGUAAGGGUGAAAUGGUGGAGUAAGAGACCACCGCUCUCCGGGCAACCUGAGGGGCACGGUAAACCUUACGGGCUGAAAGAUCAAAUAGGUGUUAAUUUGUGGGGCUACUCGUCCCCCGUUCUCACGAGCAUUAACACGGGUAGAUCGUUAGAGGUUUCGGGUGACCGGAAUCCUGGAUAAAUGGUAGGAGUUCUCGCCAUCUGGUGAGAAAACAGAACCCGGCUUACAGGCUUACUCCUUCU